Non-coding RNA from Macaca mulatta (Rhesus monkey), 1193 nucleotides. Lineage: Eukaryota; Metazoa; Chordata; Mammalia; Primates; Cercopithecidae. The record is from RefSeq and is a predicted model, not a curated record.
GCAUAGAGAGAGAGGGCGCCUUCCAGGCUGGGAAGGGAGCAGCAGCAGGAGAGUCGCGCUCGCCCCUGGCGCGUGGCCUGAUCCAUCGCCCUCCCCCACCGCGGGCACUGGUCGGACCGAGCCGGAGCCCCGCCCCGUGGGUGGGGCCGGGAGCAUCACCCGCGCAGCUUCGCCGGGGCGCCUCCGGCAGGGGGGUGCAACCUGUCUCGGGUAUUCAAGUGUCCUCGAUACCCACCAAACGGAUCCAAAGAGCCUCAACACCAAUGUAACAUCCCACCCUGACCCAUCUUUGCCCUCUGAGGAAAGCGGGCCCGAAAUGAGUUGAGUUACUCAUCCCCACCGCGGGGUCAGCUACAAGAAGCAGUUGAGUGGCCGAGGAGGAAGAGAGAAACGAAUCCACUCGGGUCCUCCAGGCUGUUGGUUACCCACUUGGGCUUUCACAGCAGAGCUGCCAAAUCCCAGAAUUGAGGCCUCGGUGAAAAGCGCGCUUAGACUUGGGGAGGAGGCCAGGUGGGACCCGCGAGCCUUAUCUCCCAGCCAAACUCUGCCGUUCAUUAAGCGGCUGCGUUUCCUCCUAACUGGCGAAGGACUCAGGUGGGCGGGGCAAAGCUCAGCCUGGGAGGCGGCGGAAGCGAGUAGCUCGGCAGGGAGACUCGCUUGGCUUUCGUGCCGUCCGUGGACGCAGUCGCGAGGGGGGAGUAGAUGACAGUGUUCUCCUUAAGGAGGAAGUUUGACUUUUGAAACAUACCACAUGCUUAAAACACAUUUGAGUUCCUGCAUGAACAGUAAGCUAGCAGAUGGUAGAAAUACUCGUUAUUAAUUCAAAAAAUAUUUACUGCGGACCUACAAUGUGCCAAGCAUGUCUCCUGACUCUGGGGAUAAGCAGUGAACAACAAAAAGACAAAGUUCUUCCACGCUGAGGCUUAUAUUCUAGGUCUUUGUGGGAAGAAACAAAGAAAUCACAAAAGUAAUUAAGAGAGCUCAAAUAAUGGGUAAGAGUACCUCAACAACUGAAUUGAGCUAGCUGAAAUUGUGCUUAUUAUGCUUUGUCAAGAACUUUAAUUAUCUCUUCACGGGGUUUAUGCCGGUUACAUACAAGGAUCCUGCAUAUUUUAGGGACCCUAAAGUUUAUAACAUCAGAUAUCGGGAAUAAAUUCUAUCACAUUGCCACUAAUAAACUUUUUUUAUAGUAA